CGGUAGAACGCAGCAGAAUGUAACGAACUUCCACGAGUUGUUGAUAUUGUAACGCCCGUGAUCCGUUUGUGAUUUUCGAUUAAGGAAAUAACGUGUCGAUUCCGCUGAUCGAACGCUUCAUCGAAAUAUUAAAUUUGACAUUAAAAAUGAAGUUUUCCAUGAAAGUGUUGCUCGCGCCGGCGUUAUUAAUUUUGAUCGUUUUAUCACCAGCGAUUUGUGAAGACGUGGAAGAUGAAGACUACAAAGACUACGAUGAUCCAUGGGGUGGUGUAUGGAACAGUACAGAUUCUGGUGUACCUAAUAUAACUUAUACUGACGGUCAUAUCAUAAGUUUUCCAGAUAUAUCACAGAAAUGCCCAGAAAAUCAACGGCCAGACAAAGAUGGGAGAUGUCGAGUAGCAGAAUAAUUUCGUUUACUAAGGACACAUACAAGUAAAUAAUUGUCUUACAUACGGUAGCUACGAGAAAGAGUAAUAAUCGUCUAAAGGAGAAUAUAAAUAGCAGGUACGUCGGUGGAACGCGACAGAAUGUACUAAACUUCCACGAGUUGUUGAUAUUAUAACGUCCGUGAUCCAUUGUUGAUUUUCGAUUAAGAAAAUAAGGUGUCAGUUCUGCCGAUGCUUCAUCGAAAUAUCGAUAUUAAAAAUGAAGCUUUUCUUAAAAGUAUUGCUCGCGUUCGUGUUGUUAAUCUUGAUCGUUUUAUCACCAGCGAUUUGUGAAGACAUAAAAGAUGGAGACUACGAAGACUACGAAGAUGAAUGGGAUUGUAUACAUACAGAUCAAGAUCCAUCGGCUGAUGUGUCGAAUACAAUAUAUUCAAAAUACGAGAAUACACUGUCGAAAAAUUGUUGUGUUGGUGAUGGUAUCAUAAGUUUUCCAAAUCUACCAUCAUGCCCAGAAAAUCAACGGCUAGACAAAGAUGGAAAAUGUCGAGUAGUAGAAUAAUUCGCUAAGAACGCAUAAACAAGAAAAUUGCUUCAUAUAUGAUAGCUACGAUGAAAAGCACUGCUUGCAUAAUCGAAGGAGAUUAUAAGUAGCAGCGAUUUUUGAAGACGUGAAUGCUGGAGACUAUGAAGAAGACCAAGAUGAAUGGAAUUGUAUAUUGAAUAUUACAGAUGAAUAUCCACCGAUUACUCUAAAUUCCCAGAGUAGUUUGUGGAAAAUUGGUUGGCUUGGCAAUUCUCUGCUAUAUUUCCAGGUCUAUUUUACCAAUAAAAUCAGACAAAGAUGGGAGAUGUCGAGUAGAAUAAUUGCAUUUGCUAAGGACACGAAACUUAAACAGACUGGGACAGACUGUGUAC
Harpegnathos saltator (Jerdon's jumping ant) is the source of this 1301-nucleotide long non-coding RNA. RefSeq lists it as uncharacterized. The transcript has 5 exons. The record is from RefSeq and is a predicted model, not a curated record. Lineage: Eukaryota; Metazoa; Arthropoda; Insecta; Hymenoptera; Formicidae.